RNAcentral lists this ribosomal RNA (564 nucleotides) under Triticum aestivum (bread wheat). RNAcentral describes it as "partial small subunit ribosomal RNA". Lineage: Eukaryota; Viridiplantae; Streptophyta; Magnoliopsida; Poales; Poaceae. The record is from RNAcentral.
AUGGUGGUUGAUGCCCUAGCAUCCAUCCUUGAUAAGGCCAAGGAUGCUGGCCAUAUUCGUGGCAUCGUCCCCCACCUAGUCAGAGGGGGAGGGGUCUCCCUCCUUCAAUAUGCGGAUGAUACCAUAAUAAUGGUGGAGGGCUCCGUCCAAGACAUUGCUAACCUGAAGUUCCUCCUCCCGUGCUUCCAACAGAUGUCGGGCCUGACCAUCAACUUUGAUAAGAGCGAAGUGAUGGUUCUCGGGUUCCCCCCGGAGGAAGCACGGGCUAUUGCGGACCGGCUAAAUUGUCGGUUGGGUUCUUUCCCCACGACCUACCUGGGGAUCCCCAUUAGUGAUUCACGCCUCACCAUGGCGGAUUUUUGCCCCACGGUGACCCGUAUGCAACACCGCAUUGAGCCCUGGAAAGGGCGCUGGUUGUCGAAGGUUGCUCGCGUGAUCCUUAUCAAGUCUUCCCUUGCCAGCCUUCUUUGGUUCCUCAUGAGCUUCUAUAGCCUCCGUGAGACCCUUCAUCAAGAGAUCGCCAAAUACCAAUCUAGAUUCUUCUGGGAUGGGGAGGGGGAUAAG